GUUUUUUUUGUAGAGGUUUUACACAAAGGAUUGAAAAUCCCCGUGUCGGUGGUUCGAUUCCGCCUCGAGGCACCA
RNAcentral lists this transfer RNA (75 nucleotides) under Histophilus somni 129PT. Its description in RNAcentral is "tRNA-Phe-GAA-2-1". The record is from RNAcentral. Lineage: Bacteria; Pseudomonadati; Pseudomonadota; Gammaproteobacteria; Pasteurellales; Pasteurellaceae.